GACGAACGUUGGCGGCGUGCUUAAUACAUGCAAGUCAACUGAAGCAGUGGUAGCAAUAUCGCUGUGGAGGUGGCGCACGGGUGAGUAACACGUAGGUAAUCUGCCUUCAGGUCUGGCAUAACUCCGGGAAACCGGGGCUAAUAGCAGAUGAUGCAGCGGCUCGACAUCGAGACAGUUGUUAAAGCUAUGGCGCCUGAAGAUGAGCCUGCGUCUGAUUAGCUAGUUGGCGGGGUAACGGCCCACCAAGGCAACGAUCAGUAGCUGGUCUGAGAGGAUGAUCAGCAACAAGGGAACGGAGACACGGCCCAGACUACUCCGGGAGGCAGAAGAAAGGAAUAUUGCUCAAUGGGAAAAACCAUAAAGCAGCACCGCGGAGGGAGGACCGAAGGGCUUUGGAUUGAAAACCUCUGUAGAGAGAAAAAAAACCCCCAUUCUUGGGGACAUGAUGGUACCUAAAAAGAAACCCCCGGCUAACUACGUG
RNAcentral lists this ribosomal RNA (481 nucleotides) under uncultured bacterium. Its description in RNAcentral is "partial 16S ribosomal RNA". It matches the Rfam family "Bacterial small subunit ribosomal RNA", at positions 28 to 507 of the family's 1533-position model. The record is from RNAcentral.